GAUGAACGCUGGCGGCGUGCCUAAUACAUGCAAGUCGAGCGAACGGACGAGAAGCUUGCUUCUCUGAUGUUAGCGGCGGACGGGUGAGUAACACGUGGAUAACCUACCUAUAAGACUGGGAUAACUUCGGGAAACCGGAGCUAAUACCGGAUAAUAUUUUGAACCGCAUGGUUCAAAAGUGAAAGACGGUCUUGCUGUCACUUAUAGAUGGAUCCGCGCUGCAUUAGCUAGUUGGUAAGGUAACGGCUUACCAAGGCAACGAUGCAUAGCCGACCUGAGAGGGGGAUCGGCCACCCUGAACCGGAGAAACGGCCCAAACUCCAACGGGAGGCAGAGGUAGGGAAUCUUCCGCAAUGGGCGAAAGCCUGACGAGGAAACGCCGCGUGAGUGAUGAAGGUCUGCGGAUCGUAAAACUCUGUUAUUAGGGAAGAACAUAUGUGUAAGUAACGGUGCACAUCUUAACGGUACCAAAUAAGAAAGCAACGGCAAACUACGU
Molecule: ribosomal RNA, 496 nt
Filed under: uncultured bacterium
Lineage: Bacteria
Description: partial 16S ribosomal RNA
Rfam family: Bacterial small subunit ribosomal RNA
Source: RNAcentral